GACGAACGCUGGCGGCGUGCUUAACACAUGCAAGUCGAACGAAGUGGCGAACGGGUGAGUAACGCGUAAUCAACCUGCCCUUCAGAGGGGGACAACAGUUGGAAACGACUGCUAAUACCGCAUACUGAAGGUGGGGAUUGCGUCUGGUUAGCUAGUUGGAGGGGUAACGGCCCACAAAGGCGAUGAUCAGUAGACGGGCUGGAAAGAAGAAUGGUAAAAAUGGGAAUGAGACAAGGCCCAGAAUCCGAAGGGAGGAAACAAUGGGGAAACUUCGGCAAAGGAGGAAAGUCUGACGGAGCAAGUCCGCGUGAGGUAUGAAGGGCUUCGGGUUGUAAAGCUCUUUUAAUCGGGACGCGGUACCAGAAUAGAAGGCCACGGCUAACUACGUGCCAGCAGCCGCGGUAAUUC
Molecule: ribosomal RNA, 408 nt
Filed under: uncultured bacterium
Lineage: Bacteria
Description: partial 16S ribosomal RNA
Rfam family: Bacterial small subunit ribosomal RNA
Source: RNAcentral